GAGUAGGUAAGGGGAAGGGGGACACAGAUUUUUUUUGUAAGGAGAGGGGGCUGGGGCUCGCCGCCUCGCGGCGGAGGCGGCCGGCGGCAACGACGGCAGCAGCUGGUGGAGGACCACGACGGCAGCUUCUAGUAGAGCGGUAGCUGGUGUUUCGAUAACCUGAGCUCCGUUCCUCUUCGACUCCUCCCUCGCGGCGCAGACGUCGACGGGCGGCAACUCAUCUCCCAGCUGGCGGCAGAGAUGGACGGGCAGCAGCUGGUGGAGGAGCGGCCUAGCGGCGGCAGCUGGUCUCUGCCGGUGUUUAGACCUCCUGCGCCCCCUACCUCGGCCAGGCCUGCGCGGACGUGGACGUGCGCCAGAGGGGACAGGAGAGGAGACAAACAAGGAUACGAGAGACUACUGACUACUGACUAGAUAACUCACGGUUUAAAAAG
RNAcentral lists this ribosomal RNA (434 nucleotides) under Triticum aestivum (bread wheat). Its description in RNAcentral is "partial small subunit ribosomal RNA". Lineage: Eukaryota; Viridiplantae; Streptophyta; Magnoliopsida; Poales; Poaceae. The record is from RNAcentral.